UACAGAGGGGGCGAGCGUUGUUCGGAAUUACUGGGCGUAAAGGGCGCGUAGGCGGCCAACUAAGUCAGACGUGAAAUCCCUCGGCUCAACCGUGGAAGUGCCUCUGAUACUGCGGGCCUCGAGGGAGGUAGGGGCGUGCGGAACUUCCGGUGGAGCGGUGAAAUGCGUAGAUAUCGGAAGGAACACCGGUGGCGAAAGCGGCGCGCUGGACCUCUUCUGACGCUGAGGCGCGAAAGCCAGGGGAGCAAACGGG
This 253-nucleotide ribosomal RNA is filed under the name uncultured bacterium. RNAcentral's name for it is "partial 16S ribosomal RNA". It matches the Rfam family "Bacterial small subunit ribosomal RNA", at positions 524 to 776 of the family's 1533-position model. The record is from RNAcentral.